GCAACGAUUAUUCAUAUGUAAUGCAACACUUUGGGAGCGUGAUUGUUAAUAUUUGUAGAAGCAACUCUAGUCUCUAUAUAAGCGUGCCCUAAAUGUUUUCUAAAAAUUCCCGCUAUAAUUUUCCCCUAAAAUUUUUACUGAAAAACUAUGCCCUAAAAUAUUCGCUAAAACCUGUCUCUCAUGUUUACUCAUAAUCAAAGUUGAGGGCUCUUCUCGUAUCUUUUAGCAGAUUGAUUGAAGCAAAUUAGAGUGAGUUCAAUUAAAUCUAUUGGGUUAUGUGGAAAUCGCUUACGGAGAUGCUAAACUUUGUCUCGGUUAUGUGCCAUCCGAUUCAAUUGGGAAUCUCAUUGUUUAGGGUUUACUAUCGUUUCUCAAAACUUGGAUAAGAUGACUGCUACUUUUGAAAUUAAGCUCUAUUAUUUUGUGAUGAGAGGUUAUUAUUCUUGAAAGGUGAAUGCUCUUCUUCUUUCAUACAGUAUUUGCCCUUUAGAGCAGGUUGAAAUAAUUGGGGAUUUCAUUGUUUAGGGCUUACAGCCGCAUCCAAAAACUUGGGUAAGACGACUGCUAAUUUUGAAGUUAAGCUCUAUUAAUUCGUGAUGAAUGUUAUUAUUCUUGAAAGGUGGUGGAAGUAAUUUAUUGUUGAUUGAGGAUUAUUCAUCUGAUACACUCGUCUAUUGAGGUAAAGUGUAACUAUUAAUAUCCACUUCCAGUGUGUUGUUGUUCAAUACCAAAAAAUGAUUCAUUUCCAAUGGAUUAUUAUCAAUCAACUAUUUAUCAGUUGCAAGGGACAAAGGUCACGAUGUAGAUGUACGUAUGUAUGCGGAGGAUUGUUGCUUAGUUGUUAAUAUCCUUGAUGUUUAAAAAAAGAAGAAAAAUUAAGAUUAGCAACUUCUUACCGCCUAAUCUGUUCUUUUGAUAGAAAUUCUUUAUAGCUCUUGCUUCUUAGUAUCCCGGUAUUGAGGUUUAUUUAGCUUUGGUUAAAGCUAAUAGUGUGCAUGAUCCAAUUGAAUUUUGGGCUUGAAAUGACUAUGAUAUUUUAUGGAUAUGUUGAAAGCAUGCUUUGAGUUGUUAUUACAGUGUUCUUUGUGUGUUUUGGGGAGUAUAUAUGCUAAAAUAUUUGAAGAUUUAGUUAGGUCCUAUGCUUGUUUAACUCGGUUUAAAGAAUCUGUUGGGUUAGAAUAUAAUAAUAAGCAUGUUCCAGUAUAUUUGUUUAAACCAAUUUGCCACCCACAUUAGAAACUUUAUCGUCUAUUGUAUCAAGUUAUAAUAUUGAAUUUCUUCAAAGUUAAUUAUUUACAAAAAGCUCAUUAAAAGAGGGGAAAAACACACACAUAGGAGAAAAAUGAAGUAACAAAAUAAUUUCUCUGGAAGAAAUAGUUGAUUCUUCACGUACUCUUGCAAAAAUUUGUACCUGCUUUCUUAUUGUUUAGAAAAAAUGCCAAUUUAAACUGGUUAGUUUAUCCAUGGACCCUUUUUUUUCUAUUUCAUUGUUGUUUUACCAUUAUGUCUAGGAGAAUUUCAAGCAUGUUGCUAGUCUAUCACAUUCGCUUUUUAAGUACAUACUCAUUUAUGGGGAUUUCUUUGCUUGGUCAGUGAAUCUUGUUAAUGAUCUUGGUGUAAAAUUAUCAAGAGGCUAGAUAAAUGUAUAGAUGGAUAACUGUCCACUUUGAGCUGAUCUUUGAACUUAAUCAGUUGUUGUAGUUGUUUUCCUGUUAAAUAGUGAAAAUCUUCAGACUUCUAGCAGUUUUAACUCCCCAAGGGAUACAAGGCGACUCAAGGUUCAAGGCUCCGAUCGUUCAUGCACUUUCGUAGAGGAAAGUUCUGGCGAGCAAUUGGAAAUGGUGGCCAAAGACAAUUUCAUCUAUGGGAAUUUAAUGAUGACUUUGGACAAUUAAAUUUUUUGUAUUCACGAUACUAUAGUAUUUCGUUUGGAUUUGUAAAGUUGAAAUACUAGCAUGGCCCUUGAAACAAUUUGCUUUAUACAUUAAUGCAGUACACGAGAUUUACUCCA
Nicotiana attenuata is the source of this 2011-nucleotide long non-coding RNA. RefSeq lists it as uncharacterized. The transcript is spliced from 3 exons. The record is from RefSeq and is a predicted model, not a curated record. NCBI's taxonomy places the organism in Eukaryota, Viridiplantae, Streptophyta, Magnoliopsida, Solanales, Solanaceae.